AUAUAUAUAGUUUAUAAAAACAUUACAUUUUCAUUGUAAAAAUAAAAAAUUAUUUUUUUUAUAUAUA
This 67-nucleotide transfer RNA is filed under the name Dichorragia nesimachus. RNAcentral describes it as "tRNA-Glu". The record is from RNAcentral. Lineage: Eukaryota; Metazoa; Arthropoda; Insecta; Lepidoptera; Nymphalidae.